CAGGGGAUAGCUCAGUCGGUAGAGCAUGAGACUCUCAGUCUAAUGGUUGUGGGUUUGAGCCCCAUGCUGGGAGAAAGA
Podarcis lilfordi (Lilford's wall lizard) is the source of this 78-nucleotide non-coding RNA. The record is from the annotation of a GenBank genome assembly. NCBI's taxonomy places the organism in Eukaryota, Metazoa, Chordata, Lepidosauria, Squamata, Lacertidae.